GACUCUACGAGCUACGAGGAUAGCACGGUCGGAACGAGAGCUUUAAAGCAAUUGACGGAACGGCACCACUAGAGGGUGGGGCCCGACAAAGUCUAAGGAAACUGACUAUAAACACAGGAAAAGUC
This 125-nucleotide ribosomal RNA is filed under the name Skeletonema dohrnii. RNAcentral's name for it is "partial Eukaryotic small subunit ribosomal RNA". Lineage: Eukaryota; Bacillariophyta; Thalassiosirophyceae; Thalassiosirales; Thalassiosiraceae. The record is from RNAcentral.